GUAGGGGUCCAAGCGUUAAUCGGGAAUUACUGGGGCGUAAAGCGUGCGCAGGCGGUUGUGCAAGACCGAUGUGAAAUCCCCGGGGCUUAACCUGGGAAUUGCAUUGGUGACUGCACGGCUAGAGUGUGUCAGAGGGGGGUAGAAUUCCACGUGUAGCAGUGAAAUGCGUAGAGAUGUGGAGGAAUACCGAUGGCGAAGGCAGCCCCCUGGGAUAACACUGACGCUCAUGCACGAAAGCGUGGGGAGCAAACAGGAUUAGAUACCCUGGUAGUCCACGCCCUAAACGAUGUCAACUAGUUGUUGGGGAUUCAUUUCCUUAGUAACGUAGCUAACGCGUGAAGUUGACCGCCUGGGGAGUACGGUCGCAAGAUUA
Molecule: ribosomal RNA, 373 nt
Filed under: uncultured organism
Description: partial 16S ribosomal RNA
Rfam family: Bacterial small subunit ribosomal RNA
Source: RNAcentral